GAUGAACGCUGGCGGCGUGCUUAACACAUGCAAGUCGAACGAAGCACUUUAUUUGAUUUCCUUCGGGACUGAUUAUUUUGUGACUGAGUGGCGGACGGGUGAGUAACGCGUGGGUAACCUGCCUUGUACAAGGGGAUAACAGUUGGAAACGGCUGCUAAUACCGCAUAAGCGCACGGCAUCGCAUGAUGCAGUGUGAAAAACUCCGGUGGUAUAAGAUGGACCCGCGUUGGAUUAGCUAGUUGGUGAGGUAACGGCCCACCAAGGCGACGAUCCAUAGCCGACCUGAGAGGGUGACCGGCCACAUUGGGACUGAGACACGGCCCAAACUCCUACGGGAGGCAGCAGUGGGGAAUAUUGCACAAUGGGCGAAAGCCUGAUGCAGCGACGCCGCGUGAGCGAAGAAGUAUUUCGGUAUGUAAAGCUCUAUCAGCAGGGAAGAUAAUGACGGUACCUGACUAAGAAGCACCGGCUAAAUACGUG
This 481-nucleotide ribosomal RNA is filed under the name uncultured bacterium. Its description in RNAcentral is "partial 16S ribosomal RNA". It matches the Rfam family "Bacterial small subunit ribosomal RNA", at positions 28 to 507 of the family's 1533-position model. The record is from RNAcentral.